UACAGAGGUCUCAAGCGUUGUUCGGAAUCACUGGGCGUAAAGGGUGCGUAGGUGGCAUGGUAAGUCAGAUGUGAAAGCCCGGGGCUCAACCUCGGAAUUGCAUCCGAUACUGCUGUGCUAGAGUACUGAAGAGGUGACUAGAAUUCUCGGUGUAGCAGUGAAAUGCGUAGAUAUCGAGAGGAAUACCAACGGCGAAGGCAGGUCACUGGGCAGUUACUGACACUGAGGCACGAAGGCCAGGGGAGCAAACGGG
RNAcentral lists this ribosomal RNA (253 nucleotides) under uncultured bacterium. RNAcentral describes it as "partial 16S ribosomal RNA". It matches the Rfam family "Bacterial small subunit ribosomal RNA", at positions 524 to 776 of the family's 1533-position model. The record is from RNAcentral.